RNAcentral lists this ribosomal RNA (271 nucleotides) under uncultured archaeon. RNAcentral's name for it is "partial 16S ribosomal RNA". It matches the Rfam family "Archaeal small subunit ribosomal RNA", at positions 477 to 747 of the family's 1478-position model. The record is from RNAcentral.
CAGCGCCACGAGUGGUAACCACGUUUAUUGGGCCUAAAGCGUCCGUAGCCGGUUUGAUAAAUCUUUUGUGAAAUUGUACAGCUUAACUGUACAGCGUGCAAGAGACACUGUCAAACUUGAGACCGGGAGGAGUCAGAAGUAUUCCAGAGGGAGCGGUAAAAUGUUAUAAUCUCUGGAGGACUACCUGUGGCGAAGGCGUCUGACCAGAACGGAUCUGACGGUGAGGGACGAAAGCCAGGGGAGCGAACCGGAUUAGAGACCCGUGUAGUCC